Molecule: ribosomal RNA, 461 nt
Filed under: uncultured bacterium
Lineage: Bacteria
Description: partial 16S ribosomal RNA
Rfam family: Bacterial small subunit ribosomal RNA
Source: RNAcentral
CUACGGGUCGCUGCAGUCGAGAAUCUUCGGCAAUGGACGCAAGUCUGACCGAGCGACGCCGCGUGCGGGAUGAAGGCCUUCGGGUUGUAAACCGCUGUCAGAGGGGAGGAAAUCCACGGUGGCACUCCACCGUGGUUGACCUAGCCUCAGAGGAAGUACGGGCUAAGUUCGUGCCAGCAGCCGCGGUAACACGAACCGUACGAACGUUAUUCGGAAUCACUGGGCUUAAAGAGUACGUAGGCGGCUACGCAAGUUGGGUGUGAAAUCCCUCGGCUCAACCGAGGAAUUGCGCUCAAAACUGCGUGGCUUGAGGAAGACAGGGGUGAGUGGAACUAAUGGUGGAGCGGUGAAAUGCGUUGAUAUCAUUAGGAACACCAGUGGCGAAGGCGACUCACUGGGUCUUUUCUGACGCUGAGGUACGAAAGCUAGGGGAGCGAACGGGAUUAGAUACCCCAGUAGUC